Molecule: ribosomal RNA, 252 nt
Filed under: uncultured prokaryote
Description: partial 16S ribosomal RNA
Rfam family: Bacterial small subunit ribosomal RNA
Source: RNAcentral
ACAGAGGUGGCAAGCGUUGUUCGGAAUUAUUGGGCGUAAAGAGCACGUAGGCGGCCCUACAAGUCAGCUGUGAAAUCCUUCUGCUCAACGGAAGAACGGCAUCUGAUACUACAGGGCUUGAGUACGGGAGGGGAGAGUGGAACUUCUGGUGGAGCGGUGAAAUGCGUAGAUAUCAGAAGGAACGCCGGCGGCGAAAGCGACUCUCUAGUCCGAAACUGACGCUGAGUGUGCGAAAGCUAGGGGAGCAAACGG